This 1000-nucleotide ribosomal RNA is filed under the name Serratia marcescens. RNAcentral's name for it is "bacterial SSU rRNA". It matches the Rfam family "Bacterial small subunit ribosomal RNA", at positions 50 to 1035 of the family's 1533-position model. The record is from RNAcentral. Lineage: Bacteria; Pseudomonadati; Pseudomonadota; Gammaproteobacteria; Enterobacterales; Yersiniaceae.
GACCCAAUGCAAAGUCGAGCGGUAGCACAGGGGAGCUUGCUCCCUGGGUGACGAGCGGCGGACGGGUGAGUAAUGUCUGGGAAACUGCCUGAUGGAGGGGGAUAACUACUGGAAACGGUAGCUAAUACCGCAUAACGUCGCAAGACCAAAGAGGGGGACCUUCGGGCCUCUUGCCAUCAGAUGUGCCCAGAUGGGAUUAGCUAGUAGGUGGGGUAAUGGCUCACCUAGGCGACGAUCCCUAGCUGGUCUGAGAGGAUGACCAGCCACACUGGAACUGAGACACGGUCCAGACUCCUACGGGAGGCAGCAGUGGGGAAUAUUGCACAAUGGGCGCAAGCCUGAUGCAGCCAUGCCGCGUGUGUGAAGAAGGCCUUCGGGUUGUAAAGCACUUUCAGCGAGGAGGAAGGUGGUGAACUUAAUACGUUCAUCAAUUGACGUUACUCGCAGAAGAAGCACCGGCUAACUCCGUGCCAGCAGCCGCGGUAAUACGGAGGGUGCAAGCGUUAAUCGGAAUUACUGGGCGUAAAGCGCACGCAGGCGGUUUGUUAAGUCAGAUGUGAAAUCCCCGGGCUCAACCUGGGAACUGCAUUUGAAACUGGCAAGCUAGAGUCUCGUAGAGGGGGGUAGAAUUCCAGGUGUAGCGGUGAAAUGCGUAGAGAUCUGGAGGAAUACCGGUGGCGAAGGCGGCCCCCUGGACGAAGACUGACGCUCAGGUGCGAAAGCGUGGGGAGCAAACAGGAUUAGAUACCCCUGGUAGUCCACGCUGUAAACGAUGUCGAUUUGGAGGUUGUGCCCUUGAGGCGUGGCUUCCGGAGCUAACGCGUUAAAUCGACCGCCUGGGGAGUACGGCCGCAAGGUUAAAACUCAAAUGAAUUGACGGGGGCCCGCACAAGCGGUGGAGCAUGUGGUUUAAUUCGAUGCAACGCGAAGAACCUUACCUACUCUUGACAUCCAGAGAACUUUCCAGAGAUGGAUUGGUUGCCUUCGGGAACUCUGAGAC